RNAcentral lists this ribosomal RNA (467 nucleotides) under uncultured bacterium. RNAcentral describes it as "partial 16S ribosomal RNA". It matches the Rfam family "Bacterial small subunit ribosomal RNA", at positions 28 to 507 of the family's 1533-position model. The record is from RNAcentral.
GAUGAACGCUGACAGAAUGCUUAACACAUGCAAGUCAACUUGAAUUUGGGUUUUUAACUUAGGUUUGGGUGGCGGACGGGUGAGUAACGCGUAAAGAACUUGCCUCACAGCUAGGGACAACAUUUGGAAACGAAUGCUAAUACCUAAUAUUAUGAUAAUAGGGCAUCCUAUAAUUAUGAAAGCUAUCAGCGCUGUGAGAGAGCUUUGCGUCCCAUUAGCUAGUUGGAGAGGUAACGGCUCACCAAGGCGAUGAUGGGUAGCCGGCCUGAGAGGGUGAUCGGCCACAAGGGGACUGAGACACGGCCCUUACUCCUACGGGAGGCAGCAGUGGGGAAUAUUGGACAAUGGACCGAGAGUCUGAUCCAGCAAUUCUGUGUGCACGAUGAAGUUUUUCGGAAUGUAAAGUGCUUUCAGUUGGGAAGAAACAAAUGACGGUACCAACAGAAGAAGUGACGGCUAAAUACGUG